Molecule: ribosomal RNA, 761 nt
Filed under: Prevotella nigrescens
Lineage: Bacteria; Pseudomonadati; Bacteroidota; Bacteroidia; Bacteroidales; Prevotellaceae
Description: bacterial SSU rRNA
Rfam family: Bacterial small subunit ribosomal RNA
Source: RNAcentral
GAUGAACGCUGGCUACAGGCUUAACACAUGCAAGUCGUGGGGAAACGGCAUUAUGUGCUUGCACAUUCUGGACGUCGACCGGCGCACGGGUGAGUAUCGCGUAUCCAACCUGCCCCUUACUUGGGGAUACCCCGUUGAAAGACGGCCUAAUACCCGAUGUGUUUCAUUGACGGCAUCCGAUAUGAAACAAAGGUUUUCCGGUAAGGGAUGGGGAUGCGUCUGAUUAGCUAGUUGGCGGGGCAACGGCCCACCAAGGCGACGAUCAGUAGGGGUUCUGAGAGGAAGGUCCCCCACAUUGGAACUGAGACACGGUCCAAACUCCUACGGGAGGCAGCAGUGAGGAAUAUUGGUCAAUGGACGCAAGUCUGAACCAGCCAAGUAGCGUGCAGGAUGACGGCCCUAUGGGUUGUAAACUGCUUUUAUGUGGGAAUAAAGUGGCGCACGUGUGCGCCAUUGCAUGUACCUCAUGAAUAAGGACCGGCUAAUUCCGUGCCAGCAGCCGCGGUAAUACGGAAGGUCCGGGCGUUAUCCGGAUUUAUUGGGUUUAAAGGGAGUGUAGGCGGUCUGUUAAGCGUGUUGUGAAAUUUAGGUGCUCAACAUUUAACUUGCAGCGCGAACUGUCAGACUUGAGUACACGCAGCGCAGGCGGAAUUCAUGGUGUAGCGGUGAAAUGCUUAGAUAUCAUGAGGAACUCCGAUCGCGAAGGCAGCCUGCGGGAGUGUUACUGACGCUUAAGCUCGAAGGUGCGGGUAUCGAACAGG